CCCUUAGAUGUCCUGGGCCGCACGCGCGUUACACUGAUGCAUUCAACGAGCUUAUAACCUUGGCCGAGAGGCCUGGGCAAUCUUGUUAACGUGCAUCGUGAUAGGGAUAGAUUAUUGAAAUUAUUAAUCUUGAACGAGGAAUUCUUAGUAAACGCAGAUCAUCAAUCUGCAUUGAUUACGUCCCUGCCCUUUGUACACACCGCCCGUCGCACCUACCGAUUGGAUGGUCCGGUGAAGCCUCGGGAUUGUGGUUCUUGCCGCUUUAUUGUGGCGUGACCGCGAGAACUUGUCUAAACCUUAUCAUCUAGAGGAAGGUGAAGUCGUAACA
This 328-nucleotide ribosomal RNA is filed under the name uncultured eukaryote. Its description in RNAcentral is "partial 18S ribosomal RNA". It matches the Rfam family "Eukaryotic small subunit ribosomal RNA", at positions 1470 to 1796 of the family's 1831-position model. The record is from RNAcentral.